UGCUUUCUACUCCUUUUCUACCUUGUUAUGAACAUCCUGGAGGCUAAAGGUUGGGAGGAUUUUGAGAGAAAGAUGAGAAGGAGUUACUGGACAGCUCUGAAGAUGAACUGGAAAGUCUGGACUCCGUUCACAUUUAUAAAUAUCAACUUUGUGCCUGUUCAGUUUCGAGUACUGUUUGCCAACAUGAUCGCCUUAUUCUGGUAUGCUUACCUUGCCACUGUGAGGAAAUGAUGCUUCUUUGCAGGCUGCCUUGACUGAAGACUGAGAAGAUGCAACCAACUUCCUUAUAGGGCUAUUUUUUUUUACAUCUGAUUAAUACGUUUAAAUAUACUGUUUUAAAGUUUUGGAAUUAAAAAAAUUAAAGUAUUUUUUAAGCUUCACUUGCAGGGACCUGUAUAGAAAUCUUGUGGAAGUUUAAAAUUAUGACAUUUUUUACAUAAGCAGAACAAAGUGUUUUUUGUUGGUUUCCUUCUAUGAGCUUUACCUACUGAUCUGAACAAAUGCAGUAAUAAAAUACUAAAGAGACUUA
Molecule: long non-coding RNA, 529 nt
Organism: Girardinichthys multiradiatus
Lineage: Eukaryota; Metazoa; Chordata; Actinopteri; Cyprinodontiformes; Goodeidae
Exons: 3
Source: RefSeq, a predicted model, not a curated record